This 30-nucleotide transfer RNA is filed under the name Coracias garrulus (European roller). Its description in RNAcentral is "partial tRNA-Glu". The record is from RNAcentral. Lineage: Eukaryota; Metazoa; Chordata; Aves; Coraciiformes; Coraciidae.
GCCACUGUUAUUUAACCUUAACUACAGGAA